CCCUUAGAUGUUCUGGGCCGCACGCGUGCUACACUGAUGCAUUCAACGAGUCUAAAACCUGGUCUGAUAGGACUGGGUAAUCUUUUGAAAGUGCAUCGUGAUAGGGAUAGAUUAUUGAAAUUAUUAAUCUUGAACGAGGAAUUCCUAGUAAACGCAGAUCAUCAAUCUGCAUUGAUUACGUCCCUGCCCUUUGUACACACCGCCCGUCGCACCUACCGAUUGGAUGGUCCGGUGAAGCCUCGGGAUUGUGGUUCUUGCCGCUUUAUUGUGGCGUGACCGCGAGAACUUGUCUAAACCUUAUCAUCUAGAGGAAGGUGAAGUCGUAACA
RNAcentral lists this ribosomal RNA (328 nucleotides) under uncultured eukaryote. RNAcentral's name for it is "partial 18S ribosomal RNA". It matches the Rfam family "Eukaryotic small subunit ribosomal RNA", at positions 1470 to 1796 of the family's 1831-position model. The record is from RNAcentral.